AUUGAACGCUGGCGGAAUGCUUUACACAUGCAAGUCGAGCGGCAGCGCGGGGCAACCUGGCGGCGAGCGGCGAACGGGUGAGUAAUGUAUCGGAACGUGUCCUGUCGUGGGGGAUAGACCGGUGAAAACCGGAUUAAUACCGCAUACGAUCGAGAGAUGAAAGUGGGGGACCGCAAGGCCUCACGCGAUAGGAGCGGCCGAUAUCUGAUUAGCUAGUUGGUGGGGUAAAGGCCCACCAAGGCUUCGAUCAGUAGCUGGUCUGAGAGGAUGAUCAGCCACACUGGGACUGAGACACGGCCCAGGCUCCUACGGGAGGCAGCAGUGGGGAAUUUUGGACAAUGGGGGCAACCCUGAUCCAGCCAUUCCGCGUGAGUGAAGAAGGCCUUCGGGUUGUAAAGCUCUUUUGUCCGGGAAGAAACGGUUUUGGCUAAUAACCAAGACUACUGACGGUACCGGAAGAAUAAGGACCGGCUAACUACGUGCCAGCCGCCGCAGUAA
Molecule: ribosomal RNA, 498 nt
Filed under: uncultured bacterium
Lineage: Bacteria
Description: partial 16S ribosomal RNA
Rfam family: Bacterial small subunit ribosomal RNA
Source: RNAcentral